CUUGCCAAAUUAUAAGAGGUCCAGCCUGCCCAGUGACUCUGUUCAACGGCCGCGGUAUCCUAACCGUGCGAAGGUAGCGUAAUCACUUGUUCUUUAAAUGAGGACUAGUAUGAAUGGCCCCACGAGGGCUGCACUGUCUCCUUUUUCUAAUCAAUGAAACUAAUCUCCCCGUGAAGAAGCGGGGAUAACCUUAUAAGACGAGAAGACCCUAUGGAGCUUAAAACAACUGAAACAUUUGCUUUUACCUUUACUGCCCCCGAGCUAUUUAUUUUAUUCAAGCAUUUUUAUUUCUAGUUUUAGGUUGGGGUGACCACGGAGCAAAACUAAACCUCCACGAAGAAAUGAAUACUUUUUAAGCCACAAACUACUUUUUUAAGCAUCAACAAAUUGACCUUCAUUGACCCAAUAUAUUGAUCAACGAAC
RNAcentral lists this ribosomal RNA (423 nucleotides) under Ameerega hahneli group sp. ABGD cluster 11. RNAcentral describes it as "partial large subunit ribosomal RNA". It matches the Rfam family "Bacterial large subunit ribosomal RNA", at positions 1834 to 2457 of the family's 2925-position model. The record is from RNAcentral. Lineage: Eukaryota; Metazoa; Chordata; Amphibia; Anura; Dendrobatidae.